AGAGCAUGAUGAACCCAGCCGUUAGCAGGAAGGCGGCACAACAACGUCAGCGGCGCACCUACAGAGUGAGAAGAGAUAUUUUCGCUGAGUACGACGAUGCUGAGUUACUGAAAAGAUUCAGAUUGGACCGUGCUGGUAUUGUUGCAGUGACUGAUAUAGUGAGAGACAAGCUGCAAAGUAAAACUGAAAGAAAUAGAGCCUUGACCCCUGAGAUGGUGGCCAUCACAUUACGAUAUUUAGCCACAGGAAAAAUGCAACAGUGCAGUUGUGAUGAUUUUGGAACAACGCAGCCCACUAUCAGCCGUGCAAUAUCACAGACGAUUGAUGCACUGGCUGACCCAGAAGUAAUCUGCCAGUUCGUGGCUUUCCCUCACACCCAGCGUGAAGUGCAGCAAAAACAGGCAGAGUUCAUGCAAGUAACUCAGUUUCCGGUGUUGUGGGAGUGAUUGAUGGCACUCAUAUAAGAAUUGUGUCUCCUCAUGUCGAUGAACAUGUAUAUGUGAACAGGAAACGCUAUCACAGCAUAAAUGUGCAAGUAGUAUUUGAUGCUCACUAUAAGAUUCUUGACAUUGUGGCAAGGUGGCCUGGCUCAGUCAACGAUGCAAGAAUACUAGAUAAGUCAGCACUCAAACUGAUGUUUGAGGAACAACAUGUACCUGCAGGAUGCUACCUUCCCGGGGACAGUGGCUAUCCCUGUAAGCAGUGGCUCCUCACUCCUUACCUUCGCCCUCAAACUGUUGCACAAGCUAAUUAUAACAGUUCCAGUACCUUACGAUGCAGCCGAGGGGACUGACGCCACCACCACCACUGCCACCACCGCCACAACAAGGGUUAUUCAAAUGGGGAACAUGCUUCAGGUGUUGCCCCAAGAUGCCUCAGCCCCGCAGCCCCACUUCCCCAUGAUAGUGCAGGCAGGGAAUGUCAUACAGGUUGUUCCAGCUGACAACACGCAGGUAUUAGGGGCAGAAGUCGUUGGAGUUGGUCGGGUCAUGCAAGUGGUCGGAGUCCCAGGCUUUCCCCCGACCCCAGCCCCAGACCCCUGCCCCAGCCACCCCUCUCCCUGUGACCCCUGCCCAGUCAUCCCUCACCCCCUCCUGCCCCCCUGCGGUGCUGCCAGCGGGGGUGAUGGGAGGUGGAGGUGGGCCACACACACCUGGGUUAGCUGUGGCUUGGCUUAUCUCCCUCCUCAGCAGCAAAUCCCGAGGAUCAACGAGGACAUGGUGGACCCAGAGAUUGCAGCAGCAGCAAGAGAGAGAGAGAGAAGCAAGAGAGGAGGGAGAGGAAGGAGAGGAGGAGGAGAGAGAGGGAGGCCAGGAGGGAGGCACGUCAGAGAGAGAGGGAGAGGAAGAGGUUGAUUCUGUUACAACAACAACUGCAACAACAACAACAGUUAGUCAGUGAGGAGGGGGAGGGGCCGUCCUCUGAUGCUGAGGAUGAGGUAUUGUUCAGGGAGGCCAUGUCGGAGGUGCCGGUGGUGGGGUCGCCAGUUCCGGAGUACGAGGUGGAGGAGGAAAAGGAAGAGGAGGACGAGGAGGAGGCACGGAUAAGGAAGAAGAAAAGAUUAUUACCUGUAGCCCUCCCUCCAGCUGAUAAGGGGAUAUUAAGGAGCCCUUCCUACAGGUUCGUUCGAUGCAAGGAGUUGGCACAGGAGGCGUCCGAGGCUGUGUAGAGCGGCCGUCUGAACCUGGUGCCACAGCUUACUAUGUUCAACAGAUGCCUGAAGGAAGUGUGUGUAAGGGAGGAUAAAGAGAUCAUGCUGGCCUAUGCAGACGAUGUCGCUGUCGUGACAGGAAGCCAACAAGAUCUUCAAGAGGCCAUGACAAGAUGGAAUGAUGUUUUAAAUAGGGAAGGAAUGAGAAUGAACAAACAAAAAACUUAUUUACUAGUGGACAAGCAACAAGUGAUGGUGUGGCUCUGAGCCACUGUAGUAGGGAUGUUAUGGUUUAAGUGUAGGAAGUUGCAAAUGCUCACCUAACAAUUGCACCUUAGUAGAAAAACACAAACAGGAAGUUUAUGCAAGUUUUUAUCCUUAUAUAAAAUGUUGUAUUGCAUCAAACCUCCAUACAUUACUGUCUCUAUCCAGUAUGAGACCGGUGUUCAGGAAGCACAAGCAUGUGCUGAAUAACAAGAAGCCGGCAUUGGUGAAGGUGACAACAUUUCAUCUAUUUAUACAUACUUUUUAUUAUUAAAGCUUAUCUUAUAAUUAUUUCUGAAGAGAUUGACUAAUUUUUGUAGUAUUUAUGACUUAGAACUAUGAUAAAGCUAUGAAUUGAUAUAAUUCCUGAUUUGUUUUAUCUUUUCAUUAUCCUUCCUUUGUUAAUUGAGCAUUUUAUAUUACUUAGCUUAAAAAUGCAAGAACGGUUCAGAAGUAUCCAACCUUGGGCUAAGGGCCAAAAUUAUGGUAUCAUUCAAAAUGUCCUUCAAAGAAAGCCCUCUGUAAUCCAACACACUUAGCCCAUUAAUCCUUCCAUUUCUCAUCAAUUUGUUCAACAUUCAUAUUUUUCCCUUAUAGGGUUGAACAAUUUUCAUGGGUUCAGAGCAAAAGGCUUCCUCAUUCCUCCCCAAGGUAUUCUCGGAUGGUAAGCAGGUUUGACUCUGGAGCAAACCUGACCAAGGGCUACUGCCCAAGGCUACAGAGGUUCCUCUCCCUGAGGCUGAAUGCACCAUGUGAGAUGGUUCUGUUAUGUGGAUGAAUGUCAUGGUGGAUAGCAGUGCCACCACAUUCCUACAAUCAUCCAUCACUCCACUGCUCAAACGCUUCUGCAACCAAUGAUAGGUAUGCUGCCACAUUCUGCAUGGUCUCCUUGGCUCUCAGAUAAGGAUACUGUCAACAGGUUUGGGAUUGCCAAAAAAUCAUAAGGAGCUAUGUCUGAAAAGUCCAGAGAGAGAGAGAGAGAGAAAGAAUGAGCAAGAGAAAGAGUAGGAUGAAGCAAAGGAAGAGUCAAGAGGGAGGAAGAGAGAGUAGGACAAGAAAAAACAGAACAAAUAAAUCCCCUACACGUCUUGUCUCCAUUCACACAAGCCAUGAAAAGCUUGUCCAUCCCUGAGUGCUCAGAAGCAGUGUUCCACUGAUGAUGUGGAAACUUGAGACACCCAAUCAUUUAAUGGGCUUUAGUAGGUUUUGUCACCAGUCUUCUGUGUGUCACUGACUACAUUUUGAAAUUUUUAUCUGUUCUAUUUAAUUUUGUGUGUAUGUACACAAUGUUUAUGGUCAAUAAACUAUUUAUAAAACUAUUUAUCUGUGUGAGUAAGAUAAAAGCAGUUAUUGUUAUUAUUAUUAUUAUUAUUAUUAUUAUUAUUAUUAUUAUUAUUAUUACACAUUUUCCUCCUUGUAUUUAAAUAUUAUUAUUAUUAUUAUUAUUAUUAUUAUUAUUAUCAUGAAUUGUUCUUGUUUAUAAAUAAAAUACUGUAACUGA
Long non-coding RNA from Scylla paramamosain (green mud crab), 3416 nucleotides. RefSeq lists it as uncharacterized. The record is from RefSeq and is a predicted model, not a curated record. The transcript has 7 exons. Lineage: Eukaryota; Metazoa; Arthropoda; Malacostraca; Decapoda; Portunidae.